UGACCCUUUGUGUUGGUGUUUCCUUCAUUUGGGCAGUUACCUGUAGAUGUGGCCUAUGCAGGAAUCAAACUCAUAAUAGGGAUAUUGCUGCAAACAACUGGUGUACCUGGCAUUGGUGUGUACAUUGACCUAUUGGAGAACACACACACACACACACAAACACACUUCACUGUUGGAAGGCGUAUGAAAAUCAGGGUCAUGACUGACUCAACAAAAAUGUCUAAAGGUGAAAAAUUCGAAUGGUUCUCUCUGCCUCUCGCACUUAUCCUCCACUCUUCUCCUCCACUCUUAUCCUCCACUCUUCUCCUUUUCACUUCUUUCUUUCUUUUCUUCUUCUCUCAUUCUUUUUUUGUGCCUGUCUUUGAAGUGAGGAAGUUUGCAGAAAACCUCUCAGAAGAAAAGCAGCAAACGCCAAAGAUGAAGAGAAGGCUUUAUGGAUAGAGAAACAGAGAAUGGGGAGAAAGGAGAGCGAGGAGUUUAGACUUCUGCACUGUUUCCUCUCUCUUCAGUCUGUCUGUCGUUUUUUUUGAAGCGCAUUGUCUCUCUUCUCUUCUUCUCUCCCCUGUUUUUCUCAAGCUGGUCAUCUCCAGAAUGAAUAGAAGGCUUGUACUUACAGUCCUGGCCCUGAAUGUUGUAACCAAUGAAAUCAAGGUAUCCACCUCCCAACCUCUCACACCAUCCAACUCCACUCCUGCUACCUUCAUUCCCCCUGCUCCCACCACUUCCUGUGUGUGUAAAGUCUCCACUUCCUGUUCCUCUCCGACCCAGCCCGAGUCUCCGCCACCUGCGCUGGGUGUUAUCAAGGUCAAAUGGGAAGAAAAGUCCUGGCUGUGUAAGAGGAAGGGCUGCGAGGGCUCCCCAACAUGGACUAAGAUCAAUCCUAAAGCUUUGGGUUACCAGAUCAGUACGAAUGGAAGUGUUGCCAACAACCCCUGUACAACACUGGGGAUCCAAUGCGAAGUCGUCUCAGAUCAGUUAGUGGGCUAUAAGGUGGUGACUGGUCUGCUGUGUGUUCUGGUGCUGGUGGUGCUGAUGGUGCGUUUCGGGCAGCCCUCCUUCAAGGCCCUCCGUAGGAGACUGUCAGACAAGAGGCAGAGUCGGUGGAUCGGACCUACACAGAGCCAAAGUGUCUCCUACCAUAGAGGGAAGGCUGGACUCCAACUUAACGACAACACAGACAAGAGACACUCCUACCCUGGAUUGGAGAGGCUGACGGUGAACACCAGCCGAGAGCCUUCGUCUAACAGAAACAGUGAUUACGACUCUUAUAACUUGUGA
RNAcentral lists this long non-coding RNA (1278 nucleotides) under Oncorhynchus kisutch (coho salmon). RNAcentral's name for it is "lncRNA (ENSOKIG00005012569.1)". The record is from RNAcentral. Lineage: Eukaryota; Metazoa; Chordata; Actinopteri; Salmoniformes; Salmonidae.